GAUUGGGUCAUAGGCUCUCGUUCUUCAGGCUGUAUAAUUUGUGGAGUGUUGUCCUGUUCUUAAGACCGGAAGUGCGCAAGGAGAGCACUCUAAUUGCAGGUAUCACAGGUGGUAGAGAAAAUACCUUUUUUAUCUCCAGAUGAGAACUCUGGAAUGUGGAUGAUUACAUCACCCCAGAUCAUCAGUAAAGAUGUUGAACCGGACUGAGCCCAGCACUGAUCCUUGG
This is a long non-coding RNA of Pogoniulus pusillus (Red-fronted tinkerbird), 226 nucleotides long. RefSeq lists it as uncharacterized. The record is from RefSeq and is a predicted model, not a curated record. The transcript has 3 exons. Lineage: Eukaryota; Metazoa; Chordata; Aves; Piciformes; Lybiidae.